Molecule: antisense RNA, 75 nt
Filed under: Streptomyces zhaozhouensis
Lineage: Bacteria; Bacillati; Actinomycetota; Actinomycetes; Kitasatosporales; Streptomycetaceae
Description: ASpks TB sRNA
Rfam family: ASpks TB sRNA
Source: Rfam by way of RNAcentral
CUUGAGGGCGCCCAGCAGCAGCGGCCGGUCGGCCGGCCGGUCCUGGCCGUAGGUGGCCAGCAGCGCCUGGGCCUC